UAUAUGACAAAAGAAUAAUAAAUAAAUUGGUCAAGUACUAGGGUUAGGCCUAAUUUAUGUCUAUUUAUUUAUAUGAAAUGAACUUAAAAUGUUUUAUUUGACCAAUUGGACUCUCUCUUUUUCAAGAAACACAUAACAAUCCAAGAAGGAAGAUCCUUUCCUGGACUUAAGAGAUGCACCACAUGCUGCAAGGAGUUCCUCUGCCCGUUCUGCAGUUCUUCUUUGUUUCACCCAACAAAGUUGAGCAAAGUGAAAUCCCAUUUGGAGAGCCAUUUCAAAUGCAGUUCUCUAUGAAGACCAUCAUAUAUGGCCUGGCUGGGCUGCAGAAUUUCUCUGUGGGAUGUUGAGAAGGCCUUCUUCUCUGGUCCGGAUUAUCAUCACAUUGAAGUGGAAGAAAAGAGAAAAGAGGGGAGAGCAUCCAUUGGAGUCAGUGAGGACGUUGUCGCUGAAGUUCUUUCUGUGUGGUUCACGUCAUGAACAAAUUUGUUUUUGUGUGUUCAACUGUUGUAAUGUAUUAUUUUAUAAAAUAUACACAAUCUUAAAUCUA
Ctenopharyngodon idella (grass carp) is the source of this 547-nucleotide long non-coding RNA. RefSeq lists it as uncharacterized. Lineage: Eukaryota; Metazoa; Chordata; Actinopteri; Cypriniformes; Xenocyprididae. The record is from RefSeq and is a predicted model, not a curated record. The transcript is spliced from 4 exons.